This is a long non-coding RNA of Rattus norvegicus (Norway rat), 2359 nucleotides long. RefSeq lists it as uncharacterized. The record is from RefSeq and is a predicted model, not a curated record. Lineage: Eukaryota; Metazoa; Chordata; Mammalia; Rodentia; Muridae.
AGUGACAUAAACAAUUUAAAUGCAUCAUAAAAGCGAACCCCCCACUCCUUAGGCAAGAACCGUGAGGCUUAAGGGCUUCCAGUAGGACUUUGACCAUCCUGCAACAUUCUCUUGUACUGGCUCUGCUCAAAGAAACAGAAGGUUUUGCCUCAAGCUAGCACACAGCAGAGAACAAAGACUAGAAACCAGGCAAGUGCUUCGAAGAUAAAAGAUCACUUCCCUCUCCCUUAGUCAGGAGCCUUAAGGAGUGGAGGCAUCACCCACACAUUCCCCAGUUUGCACGUAGGGUUUCAGCCAGCAAAUCCGUCCACUAAAGCUGCCUCCAAUUCAAACUGGAUUGAGUGACAAGUGGCUUGGGUGUCUCUCAAAGAUUUAUAGGUGGCAAUGGCCACUCCUCUGUGUAAUUACCCUCUAUGCACGUCUUUUUCUUCUCUCCCACUCCAUCCCCCACCCCUCUUUGUUUCUUCCUCCCUUCCUCUCCCUCCUGUUGACUUUUUCUCUCCCUGCAAACAGUUCCAGGCACCGCUUAGCAUCUGCCACUCUGGCUCUAGAAAGCUUUGCUUCCCCUCUGCUCCCUGGCUGGCUGGAACUCAGCCUCCGGUGUGGGCAGACUGGCUCAUCCUCUGUGUUUCUCUGAGUGUGGACUGCUGCCUUCCACACAGACUCUCUGAAGUCAAGGAGCCGCACCAGCACUUCAGUUGUGGGCCAUAAUCAAGACAGGACCAGCAGAGAGAGAUUAUUGUUGCUUUUUAUACUUUAAGCAGAAAAGCGAACAAGACAUUCAGCUUUGGCCAGAUCCCACAGGACUGAGAAUGGUGACCGGGCUUCUUGCGCACUAUCUCAGAGCGGAAUGGAAAAAAAAAGACAGCACUGUUUUGAGGGGUUUGUUUUGUUUGCCUAGGGAAAAACCCCAGCCCAGCUCCCCACCCCGAGCCCUGCCCAGCAGUGGUGGCUGCUGAGGACCUCAGCAUGGGGAAAAAAAGGCAGAAGUGCUCCAAGUCAGGGCAGCAAGUGCGGCCUGGUCAGAAAGGAAGUUCCAGUGGUCUUGGAGUGGAACAGAUGACUGGGAUUCUCAGAUCUAGAGGGACAGGGAGCCAGCACAAGAGGGGGGUGUCGGAAGUGCGAAAUCAGCUGAAUACUCGCUGUGUUUAAAAUGUCAAGAGCAAGACACGGAGGAAAGGGGAGGGGGAGGGUGCCUUUUGGUUUGUGGGAGGCAGUUUUCAAAAUGCUAGAAACACAAGUUCGCAUUCUCGUGUGUGCCUGUUACAAGUCCAAUCGGCAGGCUGCUGGGAGCUAGGGAACACGGGAGCCUGGUCCCACCCCACGGAGCUCUGCCUCCACCUUCCCGGGCUCCGGAGGAAUCUCCCGCUGCUGCCUCAAGAAGCCAGUUAGAACAUCGGACACACCCAGUGCCAAGCGAGAGCUCAAGGAUCUGGCUAAAGGGCUACAUGGCACUGUGAAGUGCUCGGGAGAGCAGGAACCAGGCCAUUCUCUUAGUUUCGAUUCUAAAAUGUGACUGGAUGUGUGUGGGGGGGGGGAGGGGGGUGUUGGUUAGGGAAUGAUCUCAAGAAGCAUGGCAAGGGAAGAGGAAAGAAAGCAAGACAGAAGACAGCAAAGCUAAGAAACCGUUUGUCAGUGAAAGCAACUGCAGCUCACUCCCACAAGAAACCCCGAGAAGAUCCCAUCAAACACAUCUUUAAGGAUUAAUCACCAGGAAGGAGGAAUACAUUUCACCUGUGCUAUCCCUCAGUGGCACAUCAUUAACCCGGGUGCGUCCUGCCUUAAAGGGGCUCGGCAAACACCUGUACAGGCCAGAACGCUGCCUGACUGGAUGCAGAAGUGCCCAUGAAGCUGCUCAUGAGCACCUCCAGUGAUGAGUUCUGCUUGAAGGCUUGAAGAGAAAAUCAUGGAUGUGCUUUUGAUCUUUGUCUUGCUCCGAUACUUAGAAGUAGAGCCCACAAAGCCCCCAGGAGAUUCAGCAGGAAAAUCAGGAAUAUGGCAGCGUGGUAUGAAGGAUUUGUUCCUGGCAUCAGCAAUCUCAAGUUUUGAAAUGAUAUGUCAAGUGAGAAUGAUCCAAGGACUAGUGACCAUCCAUUCUGAGUUGCUAGGAUCAGAAUGACGGGGCUUCACUUUGACUUCCAGAAGCACUGGGAGAUUCUAUAUACUCCCUAGUAACCAGAGAAUGCCCAAGGUAGCAUGUUAAAAUGAGUUCAGAGUUGGGUGCCUCCAUUACAAAACUAAACAGAUCAAGGAAAUUGGUCUAGACUGCUCUUCAAAAGAUGGUCUUCUCCUAACCUGGCUUAGCAAGAAAUAAUGAAAUCACAUCCAUGUCUGUAAUAAAGUUUUUGAUAAAACCAAA